AGUGAACGCUGGCGGUAGGCCUAACACAUGCAAGUCGAACGGCAGCACAGUAAGAGCUUGCUCUUACGGGUGGCGAGUGGCGGACGGGUGAGGAAUACAUCGGAAUCUACUUUUUCGUGGGGGAUAACGUAGGGAAACUUACGCUAAUACCGCAUACGACCUACGUGUGAAAGCAGGGGAUCUUCGGACCUUGCGCGAUUGAAUGAGCCGAUGUCGGAUUAGCUAGUUGGCGGGGUAAAGGCCCACCAAGGCGACGAUCCGUAGCUGGUCUGAGGGGAUGAUCAGCCACACUGGAACUGAGACACGGUCCAAACUCCUACGGGAGGCAGCAGUGGGGAAUAUUGGACAAUGGGCGCAAGCCUGAUACAGCCAUACCGCGUGGGUGAAGAAGGCCUUCGGGUUGUGAAGCCCUUUUGUUGGGAAAGAAAAGCAGCAGGUUAAUACACCGGUGUUCUGGCGGUACCCAAAGAAUAAGCAGCGGCUAACUUCGUG
This 492-nucleotide ribosomal RNA is filed under the name uncultured bacterium. RNAcentral describes it as "partial 16S ribosomal RNA". It matches the Rfam family "Bacterial small subunit ribosomal RNA", at positions 29 to 507 of the family's 1533-position model. The record is from RNAcentral.